GACGAACGCUGGCGGCGUGCCUAACACAUGCAAGUCGAGCGGGGACAUGCGACGGAUAGGAAGUUUUCGGAUGGAAUUGAAGAUGUAUGUUCUAGCGGCGGACGGGUGAGUAACGCGUGAGCAACCUGUCCUUCACAGGGGGAUAACACAGCGAAAGUUGUACUAAUACCGCAUAAGACCACGUUGGGACAUCCCAAAGGGGUCAAAGGAGCAAUCCGGUGAAGGGUGGGCUCGCGUCCGAUUAGAUAGUUGGUGAGGUAACGGCCCACCAAGUCGACGAUCGGUAGCCGACCUGAGAGGGUGAUCGGCCACAUUGGGACUGAGACACGGCCCAAACUCCUACGGGAGGCAGCAGUGGGGAAUAUUGGGCAAUGGGGGAAACCCUGACCCAGCAACGCCGCGUGAGGGAAGAAGGUUUUCGGAUCGUAAACCUCUGUCCUUGGUGAAGAGAAAGAGACGGUAGCCAAGGAGGAAGCCCCGGCUAACUACGUGCCAGCAGCCGCCGUAAAAC
This 511-nucleotide ribosomal RNA is filed under the name uncultured bacterium. Its description in RNAcentral is "bacterial SSU rRNA". It matches the Rfam family "Bacterial small subunit ribosomal RNA", at positions 28 to 526 of the family's 1533-position model. The record is from RNAcentral.